UUCUUCAGGCGAGCAACUGCUAUUCGAACUUCUUCAUGGCCGGGUAAUGGAACGUCUGCUCCAUCGUCAUCGAUUGGGGAAUCGGGUUCGCCUUCUCCUGGUGUUGUGUGUUCACUGCCAUUCAGCAGUCUGGAGAAGUGUUCCAUCCAUAAUCUAAGUAUGCUCUGGACAUCGGUGGCUAGAUCACCUUUGGGGGUUCUACAGGAUUAUGCUCCGGUUUUGAAACCUUCUGUAAGCCGCCGCAUUUUUUUGUAGAAUUUUCGAGCAUUACCCCUGUCGGCCAGCUUAUCAAGCUGUUCAUACUCACGCAUUUCGGCCUCUUUCUUCUUCUGUCUGCAAAUGCGUCUCGCUUCCCUCUUCAACUCUCGGUAUCUAUCCCAUCCCGCACGUGUUGUGGUCGAUCGUAACGUUGCGAGGUAGGCAGCCUGUUUUCUCUCCGUUGCGACACGACACUCCUCGUCGUACCAGCUGUUCUUUUGCAUUUUCCGAAAACCAAUGGUUUCGGUUGCAGCUGUACGUAAGGAGUUUGAAAUGCCGUCCCACAGUUCCCUUAUACCGAGUUGUUGACGAGUACUCUCAGAGAGCAGGAGUGCAAGCCGAGUAGAAAAUCUUUCGGCUGUCUGUUGUGAUUGCAGCUUCUCGACGUCGAACCUUCCUUGUGUUUGUUGGCGUGCGUUUUUUGCUGCACAGAGGCGGGUGCGAAUAUUGGCUGCAACAAUAUAGUGGUCGGAGGGAGGGAGGGAGGACCUCGGAGCGCACGCACAUCUAAAACACUCGAGACGUGUCUUCCGUCUAUCACAACAUGAUCGAUCUGGUUGGUGGUUUUUCGAUCCGGAGACUGCCAGGUAGCUUGAUGUAUCUUCUUAUGCUGGAAUCUAGUACUACAGAUAACCAUAUUUCGGGCCCCGGCGAAGUCGAUCAGCCUCAACCCAUUUGGGGAUUUUUCCUUGUGGAUGCUGAAUUUGCUAAAGAUACCUUCUUUGCCCACCCUGGCGUUGAAGUCGCCAAGCACGAUUUUGACAUCGUGGCGGGGCAUCUCUCAUAAGUGCGCUCCAAGCACUCAUAAAAAGCAUCUUUGGUCACAUCGUCGAUAUGUUGAAGAACCUCGCUUUAAUGCGGAUUGUGGCUAGACGUUCAUUCUCCGGAGUGAAUGAUAGUACUCGGCGACGGAGUCUCUCUCUCACCACUUAUCCAACACCAAACGUGCGCUCCUUUAUAUGGCCACUGUAGUAAAUGUCACAAGGACCUACGCGUUUCUGUCCUUGUCCCGUCCAUCGCAUUUCUUGGACGGUGGUGAUGUCAGCCUUUAUUUUCACAAGGACAUCAACCAUCAACCUGGGCAGCGGCACCUUCCCAAUUAAGGGACCGGACAUUCCAGGUGCAUGCCCUCAAAUCAUAGUCCUUAUUUCGUUUGCCAUGGUCGUCAUCAAAAGGGGGGUCUCUCAUCCGAAGCUGUUUGUUGUUUUUCAUUGGGGGUGUUUUUUUACCUGGCGGGUCCCAAACCCAGCGCACAACCCUAUGCAGGGGAUGUUUCGCCUUCUCACUUUAGCUCGCCUUCAAACGGAUGUUCUUAGGCUACCCAGAGGAUAGCUUGGGACUUGGUCAAAGACCGGAAGUCGUGAGCUGCUUGAGUCACAUGUAAAAGAAUCGUUUCUGGCCACUCCCAAGUGAAUGGCGAUCAGAGACCUUUCCUCACUUGCGUGAACUUCUACACAUGACUCCAUCCUCCCUUUCAUACAUGGCCAAUUAAUAUUUAUAACACCACAUGGUCUAUGAAUCAUAAUUUUUGUAACAACAUCAAAUAAACCUGGAUCGAUUUCCUCAUCAGGAAUUUCUGCUGAGAUGAUGUCAUCUAUUUGAUCGCUUGUUAUUUUGUUGACUAACCAUUACCAAAAUAUGGUCAUGUGGUAAACCUCUCUUUUGCCAUUCCACCGAAUACAUCCAACAUCGAAUUCGCCGAAAACUUGAUGUUUAACAAUAAAAUCCAUCAAUGACUUCAGUUUCUGUCUAAAUACUAGUCCAGUUUUGUCAUGAGGUCUGUAGAAGAUUGCCCUUCAUAUAAAUAUUGUUUGAUUUCGUCACAUUGUGGAUUACAUGUAAAUGUAAUAAACAAAUCUGGUCGAUCAUACAAACGAACAUAGCAAAUGGCUUCUUGUGCAUAUUCAUGCAUGUGCCUUGGACUGCCUGUGUAACUUGCUGGUAAAAUAACAACUUGUCCAACAUUGUCAACACUUCCAUCAUUAUUGAUUGCAUCGGGGAGAUGUAUAUUGAUUGAUUGAAUUGAAUGAAGUUCAAACGCUCUGUUUCUAUCUUUGCAUACAUGUCUACGACAUAUUGAUGAAAGAGUCUCCGAUAUUUGAAAAUAUGAUUUUCCUGAUUUUGUGGCAUCAUAAUUCUAUGUGCAUAAUAGUUCAUAGCGCUGACAUUUUUAUUGACUUCACGUUCUGAAGAGAAAAAAAAAACAAAUGGAAAUUUAAAUCAUUUCUUACUAAUUCUUGUUAAACAAAAAUGAAAGAGUAUAUUAAACACAACAAACAGUCACGUGGGUUUGUGAGAUCUACCAUUUUUAAAUUAAUAGAGCAUCCACCUUCACCCCGACAAAACAAAAUUGCGUACUGUAGGGCAUCGUAAGAGCGAUGUGUUUCACAAAUACUUUGUAAUUGAUUAUUUCUUCUACGCAAUACAAUGUCACGUGAUUGAAACUCAUCACCGACAAUCACCACAGCAACUUCAUUAUUUAUAGGUGCAUUAAAUCUUCGUUAGUGUUCUCCGAUAGGUCUUCUAUCAGCACGAAUCAUGAUUUUAUGAUCAUCAGACGGCAUCUGAUCAAGCACUGUCCGAAAAGUAUUAAUCAAAUAAUUAUGUUCAUGAAACAAUGCUUGCAGUUCACGUAUUAUUAUUCCUCUGGCACUUGUGAAUAUUGAAUAACGGGCAUCUACUUCAUUUUCAUUAUUGCCAAGGAAGUAGAUUUGCAAGAACUGGUGGUUUGCAUCUGGAAAUGGCAAUAAUGAACCAAUCCUAUGAUAAAUUUGCCCUUGUAUCUGCAAUUGUGAGGCAAAAUAUGAUUCAUUAGAACUUGUGAAAAGUUCUGAAAUGUCGCUGUAUGCUUCAUUCGAAAUUCCCAGAGCCGAAAUUACCUUAAAUGUCGGUAUGAAAUUAUUUCGUAUUACAUUCGUCGCUCCAAAGGAAGUCAUUUUAAAGCACGAAUUAUAUAUUUGGAUAUUAUCCAAAAAAUGUUUCGAUUGCGGCGUUGUCCCUGAAAUUAAUGUUGCCAAUGGUUCCGGUGGGUAUUGUAAUUCGGGUAAUCUUACUUUGCCACUGGAACAACACAUUCCAGGUGUUUCAUUAUGAAAUUUCAGUGCAUUACAAUGUUGGCAUACUUUGUGCAUUCCACCAAUCACCACACAAAAAAAAUUAUUUCGUAAUUUUUGUCCUACCGUUUGAAAGCGAAAACGAAACGUUCGAGAUCGUCUGCACUCGAAAAACACCAAAAAAUGACGAAAAGACACGAAAAGACAUGAAAAUGUGACAAAAUUCAAUUAAAAAUUGGCCAAAAAAUCCAAGUAAUUUUUAGCUCACCGAUCGGACAUUAAACAAAAAAUUUCAAAUUUGAGAUUAUUUCACAAAAUCAUACGAUGCACUUGUAACAAUCAGAACACUUGUUUAGCAAAACAAUCAAUUUUUAUCUAAUUAAUCAUUGUUUUUUUUUAAUUUUUUUUUAAUAAAAUAUUUGAUGAUUAGAACGAAAAUUAAUUUAUUUUUAUCAAAAUACUCACCAAAAAAUGCGAAGAAAUUAAUAUUUUCAAAAAUCUAUUAUGAUAAGAUCAAUCACCAAUGACGUCCAAAGAGAAAAGAGAAAUGAUAACAAAUUGCUAUUUGCACCACUCCGGGCAAUGCGCUCCAAUACACAAAUGACAAAAUGUAUUCAAUACUAAUAAAUGCUAUAUGUGGUACAAAAAAUGCUUGUGGCAAAAACACACUCACUUCACAUACUCACCGCACACACAUGCGUUAUCAUAUUUCAACCAAACUUCAAAUAAACCAUAUAUAAGCCACUGUCUACGUAGUGUAUAAGUUUGGUUGAAAUCGUAUGACGCGUUUAUGAUUAGUUCGGCGACGUACAUAUACGGACUUAUUUUUAUAUAUAUAGAUUUUAGUGCUGACCUCCUUUUGUCAUCUUUUAGGAGCAAAAAAGGAGAUUUUAUACUUCUAUUGUGAUUUUUUUACUUCAUUUUAGUAUUGAUCUCCUUUUGUCCUCCUUUAGGAGCAAUAAAGGAGAUUUUUUAAUUUUUCGUAGCUUAAAAAUCGUACUUUUGAUUCAAAAAUUACAAUUUAACGGGAAAUAAUAACUGUUAAUUUUUGUCUUCAAGCAAUUGUUCAUUUCACCUGUGUGUUUUAAAGCGUGCAGAGACCCACGAAAUUUAAAUGUGCCUAUAGCUAGAGGAAAUAUCGGCGCAGAACACUAUACUCCUGGAGCGGAUUAUUGACAUAUUGCAACCGAAGAAGAUUGAAUUAAUGAUAUUUCCCAUUAAAAACAUGAAUGAUUUAGCAUCUACAGAGUCCUUGCUUUUGAAUAAGCCUGAGGCAGAAAUUGUGGCGUAUCUGAAGUAAACAUUUUCAAAGAGGCCCCUAUCAAAAAUUUUGGAUGAAGAGAUUGCGGAGUCCCUGCUCUUAAAAGUGAAUUGGGAUGGAGCCAAAAAAAAAGUUGCAUUGAAAAAGUAUGCAUUUUUCAAUA
This is a long non-coding RNA of Bactrocera dorsalis (oriental fruit fly), 4735 nucleotides long. RefSeq lists it as uncharacterized. The record is from RefSeq and is a predicted model, not a curated record. NCBI's taxonomy places the organism in Eukaryota, Metazoa, Arthropoda, Insecta, Diptera, Tephritidae. The transcript is spliced from 3 exons.